GCCAGGCAUUGUGGCGGAUGCCUGUAGUCCUAGCUACUCAGGAGGCUGAGACGGAAGAAUCACUUAAGCCCAGGAGUUGGAGGUUACUGUGAGCUGUGAUGCCACAGCACUCUACCUUGGGUGAUAAAGUGAGACUCUGUCUCUG
RNAcentral lists this non-coding RNA (145 nucleotides) under Otolemur garnettii (small-eared galago). Lineage: Eukaryota; Metazoa; Chordata; Mammalia; Primates; Galagidae. The record is from Rfam by way of RNAcentral.